GCCCUUUGAUUCCCGCGCCCGACCGCCUAUAUAGAGGGUGUCAGCUUCGGCUGACUAUGGCGAUAAACGGACUGCAGAAUAAGCCAUUCGGACCCGGGGGCGGUACCCGGCGCCUCCACCAUUUUCCAUCUGUCAUGGCAGAUCCAAAUGGGGGCGAACUAGGAUCGACGAGGGUGUAAAAGCUUUUCUUUUGCCCGGUAUGGUUCCGCCGUUAGCGGGCCGUUUGAUAGUUGCCAAUGACAACUAUGCAGAAGUUGCGAUCGCCGCGUAAGCAGCGCUAGCGCUUCACUUGAAGUCCUUGCCCUUUGCAGGGUAAGGCGGGGUUCGGAGGUACCUGGCAACAGAAACCUCCACU
RNAcentral lists this transfer-messenger RNA (355 nucleotides) under Parvibaculum sp. It matches the Rfam family "Alphaproteobacteria transfer-messenger RNA". Rfam says of the family: Bacterial tmRNA, also known as 10Sa RNA or SsrA, is named for its dual tRNA and mRNA-like properties. Its role is to liberate the mRNA from a stalled ribosome. Lineage: Bacteria; Pseudomonadati; Pseudomonadota; Alphaproteobacteria; Hyphomicrobiales; Parvibaculaceae. The record is from RNAcentral.